This 57-nucleotide small nucleolar RNA is filed under the name Leishmania donovani. RNAcentral describes it as "H/ACA box snoRNA LD33Cs4H1". Lineage: Eukaryota; Euglenozoa; Kinetoplastea; Trypanosomatida; Trypanosomatidae. The record is from RNAcentral.
CUUUCACGUGGCGGUUGCUGUUGCCGCGUAUUCCUCCUGGGAUGGUGGGGGAGAUCA